UGGAUUUAUUCCGAUGUAAAUCAACCUUAAAUGGUCUACAACAUAUAAUAGGAAUGUAAUAUUGGAGAUUAAUGUAGAUAUUGUGAUUUAUUUCCUAAAGAUAUCAAUCUUAUAUUAGGUGUCUUGCAAUAUAAGUAAGAUUGAUGGAGUCCUUGAUUUUAUGUGAUUAUGAUACCUAACUGAUAGGCUAAAAAGUGGGAUUUGGGAUUCCUUUAUGGAUGGAACCUUAAUGCCUUAGCCAGUAUAAAUACUAAGGUCCCUGCAAACCCUAGAGACACAACAAACACUUCCCAUAAAGUAGUUGUAUCCGGCUAGGUGCUUUGUAGAAGACUUGGUGUUGCCGCAUCCUUCAUCUUCUCCGUUUGAUCUCCAAUGGCUAUCGCUUCAUGAUCAGGUCAGCUAAAAUUCCUUCGUUUGUGUUUUAAUUAUAUAACCACAUAAAGUUUACAUGUGGUAUCAGAGCCACUGGUUAUAUGAUUAAAACCUAUUAGGUUUGAAGUUUGAUUAUAUAAUAUCUUUUCUUUUGGACUGCGGUUUUUUAAAUCCAAAUUGUGAUUGCAUUCGGCAACAUCACCAUGUUGGACCUGCUUGAAAACUGCAUAGUACGGUUCCGCAUAUAAUUGUAUAUACUUGGCAUAUUAGUUUGAUAUGCACGGCACAUGUUUUACAUAAAUUCCUAUUUGGUCUUAGAGACCGAAAUUAUCAGUUAAAUUAAACAAUUACAUAAUUGGAUAAUCUGUUUCUGCGAGUGGUGCCAGUUGAGUUCAAGUUUUCUUCCACCGCCACCACCCUUCAAUUCCAAAUGUGGGCUUUUUCUAAUUGAAGCACUAAAUGAUGAUAUUGAAUUAACUAUAAUAAAGGAAGAUUAAAAAUAGUUGGUUCAUUAUUUCAUGGAAUUGUAUAAUUGGAAUUACCAUGGUGCUUAACGUUUUCUAUUUCAAUGUUCAUAUUAAUGUUUUGGUUCAAUUUGAAAUAGUCAUUUUGUUCUAACCAUGCACCGGAGAAUUUGAGAUGAUCAGCAAAGCCAAAUAAGGAGGUUCAUAUAUGCAUCGCAUAUGAGAUCCUGAUGGAGGUCGGUUCUAACCUUGCACUGGAGAAUUUUGAGAUAUAUCACUCAUAAAUUGGUAAACUAAUAAUUGUUGAAUGGUAGGUUUUCAAGCACUUCAAGCUUCCUUUCUUGUAUUCAGUUCUCAUAAAGAAAGAUUGGAACAGUUUGCUUUGCUCAUCUUUACUGAAUUAAUUAUGACUGGAAGAAUAUGGCAUGCUUUAAGCUUUCUUUCGAUAUUCAUGCCAAUGUUUUGGUUGAAUUGAUUUAGUGGUAGAUACAACUUUUUGGCUAACGUUGUUGUCAAUUUUGUAAGCAUAUAGAAAUAUGUACUUCUGUACUAAUCUUGCCAAGGAAGACUAUGAAGCAUCUCAAGUCAACAAGCUCGGUAAAGUCUCCUAUCAAAGCAAACAAUAUUGAUCAUUAUAUGUGUCAAUUGCGAAUUAAUUAGUUGAUCAUGCAUAUGGUUAGUUUUGACUAUUAAGUUUUAAACUUGGUUAUCAAAACAAAGAGAAAAUAUAUGUUUUGAACAUGAUUAAUUCUGCAUAUAAGUGGCAUACAGAACGAGGGAAAAGUAGAUUUUUAAGAUAUGCCAAGAUGCAUGCAUAUAAAAGUGCAUAUAUAUCUUGCUUGUUCGUGGUUUUUUGUUAGUAAUAUGCAUGAGUGAGCCUAUUGGCUGGUCCAAGCAGCUCCAGUCACUGCUUCCAGGGUGGAAAGGCAACAAGGGACACUAAGCACCCCUCAAAAUAUAAUUACAUACCUUAUAAGGUUUUUUGGAAUUACUUCUUAAACUCCAAAUCUUUAUUGCAUUUGUUAUCCAUUUGAAUAAGGACUAAUAUUGUUUGCCAUGAAUUGCAAUUGCAUAAGUGCCAUCAAUUGUUUGAUCAAGCUAAGUAUACGUAAUUUUCUAAAGCCAAUUAUGUAUCUAGAAGUUCACAUUGCAUGUGUAAAAUUAUCAUGACACCAGUAUCUAAAUGGUAUGUAUAUGGUAAACAUGCGGAGAAGCAUAUGUAAAAAUGCAUAAAUUAUUUUUAUUGUUUGAGACUAUAUUUUGUACAAAUAGUCUGGGUGUUUCGGCAUUAGUACAAGAGUAAGUCUAUUGCUCUGUUUUUCAUGGGUAAUAACUAAAAUGGACAUAUGGCAUGUUUUAUUAAAGGGAUUGGGUUGUCCUAACACAAAUGUGUUGAUUAGUAAUGCAGUAUACUAAGCAUGAUGGGGGAUUAAUUCAAGUACGGUUUAUAAUGAUAUUAACUCCAUGCGGAAUUUGCAUGACUAAUCAAAUUAGUUUUGUCUACAAUUUUGCUUUCCUAUCUCAGUAUAGUCAUUUAAUUGUACAUGACUAAUGCAUAACUUAUGGAUUGACUGAGAAUGACAGAAAGCAUCCAAUGACAAGAAUAAGGGUAUAAUACAAGUGAAUAAGGUUUGUAGUAAUUAUGUGACAAUUCUCAUUUGUAUUUUAACUAUUUAUUUGAGAAUUGUGGUUGGUCAUGUGAUUAUAAAUAUGUUUAUAAAGAAGUGGUGAACAUAUGAAGGCAUAAGGUAUGUAUUUCAUUCAGAGCAUGUGACUAAAUUGAUAAGCAUAAGUCUUCAAACUUGUAUAUAGUUUAUUAGUUUUUCCCAUGCCUAAAGAAUUUAAACAAUGUUUUGAUAAGUCAAUUUUAUGUGCCAUAAGGGGAGAAGAAAAGAAAUUAUUCAAGGCUAAUGUAUGGCAUGUAUUGGAGUUUUUUUUUUCUUUUGGAAGAAAAGAUUUUUUGGUUGUUCCUUUACUUAAUUUGGUAUUUACAAGGCUAAUGCACGAUUUUGAUGCUAAUGUUUUAGGAGUCUUGUACUACAAAAAUAAAGGUACAAAAGGAAAGGAACCCGUUUGACUUAAGAGAGCAUUUAAGUGAUAUCACAAUUUGGCUUUUGAAUUAAAAGCGACUAUAUUGUUUAAAGUGUUUCCAUUUUGAAUCUAUUAGCUCCAUCAUGUUUUCUCAUACGUGUUGAUAUCCUUGUGGUGGAAGAUUGAUAUUAUAGCUCUUAUACAACUUGAUCUAUAUGUGAUUAAUCUCCUUUCAAGUAUGUUGUCAGGUUUUUUGAGAUUAAUUGGAUAUCGAAGGGAGUCAUGAAGGCUGGAGAUGAUCAAUGUCUUGUCAACUAAGCAAGCCGUAGCGGCUUAGUUGAUGUUGGGACUAUGGUUUUAAGUUAUUUUGAUCAACAUUGCAUCUUAAUUAGUAAAAGGGAUAAUCUUCUUGCCCGUAGGUGUGGAUCGUUUCCUUUGUUUUAAUUAAGAUGGCAUAGUAUGAGUUUUAUUUCACAGGAGUUUGUGAAAACUUCAUCUUGCCCGUAGGUGUUGAAGUUUUUUUUAUGAAGGUAACUCUUGUGACAUAUAAUUCAGUACUAGAAACUAAUUAAUUUGCUUGCCCGUAGGUGUAAAUUAAUCUAGUUUCAUGAAGUUUAUUGGGGAUAAAGUUCCAUGCCAUCAGUUACAAAAUCCCACUAUGAGCCCCAUAAUAGGUUGUGGUUUUAAGGCAUGGAAAUCGGUUGCAUCAUUACGUAUUUUGUGUCUCUUCAUGAGACUUGUUGAUGCAAAGUAUUGGACCCAUGAAGGUUAAUCAAGGAUUGCUAAGGUACACAUUAUUUAAGUCUUAUGCUUAUAAAUCUUUUCAAUUUGAAGUAUGAUGUCGUUUUAGAUGAUGAAAUUUGACUACUAGAGUUUCCCUUGGACAUCAAAAUUGAAAUGAUAUGAAAUUGAAUUGUUAUGGAUGUAUAAAUUCAUGAUAGAUGCACAUGAUUGUUUCUGGCAGAUUGCAUGUCUUGAUUUAAAUUGAGUGAAUGAUACGUCUAAUGAUCACCAAACGACCUGAAUUUUUGAUAUGUUCAACAUAUAUAUGUCUACUAUGUGUCUGCAAAUUUUCGUAAAGUUUUGCCAUGUAGUGUAAUUAUGGUGAAUUUACUAGUAACCCAUACUCGUACAGACAGUUUUGCUGGCAGAUUGUUUUUGUCUUUCGAGACGUCACUUUAGACAAUUAGUUUGACCUAAAACGGCCCUAUAUUUUUAAUUUAUGAAGAUUAGUAUGUCUAUUUUGAUCUGUAAAAUUUUGGUAGCAAUUAAGCUUGUAAAUUAAUUAUGAUAAAUUCUAGAGUAAGUGUAACUCAUUGCUGAAAUUCUUUUUGAUAACUUUAUGUUGGUUGUGAUAUUAUGUCUAAAAUAUGAAGCAAAUUUGUUUAGGUAAAUCCUUGAAAGAAUAUAUGAAUAAGUGUUUGCCCAAGUGGGAGAAUUAGUGAAAGAAAAUUGGGCUUCACACUCAUUAACUUAUUUGCAAUAAGUGUAUAAACUCUAAAAGUUUAGUGGGAGUUGUUCUAAAGUUUUGAGCAUUAAGUGGACUUGCAUAAAGUUUUAUUCUAUCUUCCAGGAAUAUGUGUUUUGGUUGAUGAAAUUAGAAUUAUGCCAUGACUCGAAUGACAAUAAUAUGUUUAAGUUGCAGAAUGAGUACUUGGUGUAUGUGUAUAUUUUUACUUGCAAUCAUUUGGAUGCCUUAAUUGAUUAUUUGUUAAUCUUUAGAAAAGAAUUUUGAGGGUCGUGGGGACUUAGCACAAAUAUGGAAUUAUUAAUGCAAAUAGAUGGUUGUGAAAUGCAUGGUUUUGUAUAAACAACGGUGAAUCUCUUAGUUUUACCUUUCAUUAAGAUUAUGUUUUUUAAGGUGUUAAGGAAAGGUUAAAGAAAGACAAUUUUGUAGUGAUAUGCAUUCAUUGACUAAGUAAGGGUGUUCCCACAAGCAUAUUUCAAAAGUAUGUUUUAAGUAGUGUUUGCAAAUUAAGUGACGAUGUUGCAAAUCAGUGGGAGCUUGAGUUUCAUGUAAUUAAUGCCUUACAUUUGCAGAUGACCUAUAAGGUAUGUAUGGUUGAUUGAAUCCAUUUAUUCAGUUUAAUCUCCGGUUGGAUUCAUGUAGUCACAUGUUUAUGUGUUGGUCAAUUAUCAGAUGACGAUAUAUCUGAUAUCCAGUUAAGCAAAUUGCAUUUUAAGUCAUAAAGGAAUGGUUAGUCUACUUGCUCGUAAGUGUGGAUUAAUUCUUUUGGUUCGACUUAAAAUGGCAUGACAUGAUUUAUAUGUUGUAUUAGUUGUAAGAGUUUUUUCAUCUUGCUCAUAAGUGUUGAAAAUUUUUCUCACGAAAGUAACUAAUAUGGUAUAUGAACUAGUGUAAAAAACAUGUUAAUUCAUCUUGCUCGUAGGUGUUGAAUUAAUUGUGUUUUAUGAAGUUUUUGUUUGCAACUGCAGUAGAAGUUUGCAUUAAAGAGGACCUGAGAUGAUAAAAGUUGAGACACAUUCAGGUAAUUAAAGUUCAUCUUUGCAAUCAUAAUUUGACGGUGUUUCAUGUGGAUGAGGAUUUUAGCAUGUGUGAUUAUGAAGGUUUUUGGUUGUGUCAACCUUACAACCUUGUUAGUUCCAUGUUGAAAGACUUAUUUGACAGAAACUUGUAUCAAGGAUAGGAUGUUAUCACAACUACAUGGCCAUUAAAGUGACAUUAAUCUCCAAUUUCAAGUAUAAACAUAAAUAUUAUAUGUGUAGACCAGUGGGAGAAUGUUGGAUUUAUUCCGAUGUAAAUCAACCUUAAAUGGUCUACAACAUAUAAUAGGAAUGUAAUAUUGGAGAUUAAUGUAGAUAUUGUGAUUUAUUUCCUAAAGAUAUCAAUCUUAUAUUAGGUGUCUUGCAAUAUAAGUAAAAUUGAUGGAGUCCUUGAUUUUAUGUGAUUAUGAUACCUAAUUGAUAGGCUAAAAAGUGGGAUUUGGGAUUCCUUUAUGGAUGGAACCUUAAUGCCUUAGCCAGUAUAAAUACUAAGGUCCCUGCAAACCCUAGAGACACAACAAACACUUCCCAUAA
RNAcentral lists this long non-coding RNA (5906 nucleotides) under Malus domestica (apple). RNAcentral's name for it is "long non-coding RNA (MDOM_LNC009786)". Lineage: Eukaryota; Viridiplantae; Streptophyta; Magnoliopsida; Rosales; Rosaceae. The record is from RNAcentral.